CCUACGGGUGGCAGCAGUGGGGAAUAUUGCACAAUGGGCGCAAGCCCGAUGCAGCCAUGCCGCGUGUAUGAAGAAGGCCUUUGGGUUGUAAAGUACUUUCAGCGGGGAGGAAGGCGAUAAGGUUAAUAACCUUGUUGAUUGACGUUACCCGCAGAAGAAGCACCGGCUAACUCCGUGCCAGCAGCCGCGGUAAUACGGAGGGUGCAAGCGUUAAUCGGAAUUACUGGGCGUAAAGCGCACGCAGGCGGUUGAUUAAGUUAGAUGUGAAAUCCCCGGGCUUAACCUGGGAAUGGCAUCUAAGACUGGUCAGCUAGAGUCUUGUAGAGGGGGGUAGAAUUCCAUGUGUAGCGGUGGAAUGCGUAGAGAUGUGGAGGAAUACCGGUGGCGAAGGCGGCCCCCUGGACAAAGACUGACGCUCAGGUGCGAAAGCGUGGGGAGCAAGCAGGAUUAGAUACCCGUGUAGUC
This 465-nucleotide ribosomal RNA is filed under the name uncultured bacterium. RNAcentral describes it as "bacterial SSU rRNA". It matches the Rfam family "Bacterial small subunit ribosomal RNA", at positions 338 to 795 of the family's 1533-position model. The record is from RNAcentral.